This 496-nucleotide ribosomal RNA is filed under the name uncultured bacterium. RNAcentral's name for it is "bacterial SSU rRNA". It matches the Rfam family "Bacterial small subunit ribosomal RNA", at positions 92 to 584 of the family's 1533-position model. The record is from RNAcentral.
CGAGUGGCGAACGGGUGAGUAAUGCAUCGGAACGUACCCAGCCGUGGGGGAUAACGUAGCGAAAGUUACGCUAAUACCGCAUACGACCUACGGGAGAAAGCAGGGGAUCGCAAGACCUUGCGCGAUUGGAGCGGCCGAUGUCAGAUUAGCUAGUUGGUGGGGUAAAGGCCUACCAAGGCGACGAUCUGUAGCGGGUCUGAGAGGAUGAUCCGCCACACUGGAACUGAGACACGGUCCAGACUCCUACGGGAGGCAGCAGUGGGGAAUUUUGGACAAUGGGCGAAAGCCUGAUCCAGCCAUUCCGCGUGAGUGAUGAAGGCCUUCGGGUUGUAAAGCUCUUUCGGCCGGGAAAAAAUCGCACGGGUUAAUACCCUGUGUGGAUGAUGGUACCGGACUAAGAAGCACCGGCUAACUACGUGCCAGCAGCCGCGGUAAUACGUAGGGUGCGAGCGUUAAUCGGAAUUACUGGGCGUAAAGCGUGCGCAGGCGGAUGUUU